This 824-nucleotide long non-coding RNA is filed under the name Olea europaea subsp. europaea. The record is from RNAcentral. Lineage: Eukaryota; Viridiplantae; Streptophyta; Magnoliopsida; Lamiales; Oleaceae.
CAGAAGAACUCACUCUCAUAAGUAGAGCCAAACAAAGAUGGCGCUUUAUAUCCCUUCUAAGGUCCUUUGGAAGAUUAUGAACCAAAUUCUCUUCAUCAACACCUCUAGUUUCCUGCCAUUUGUACUGUUCAUAUCUCCGGAUCCUCUCCCUCAGGCUUUCAGGAAGUAAACGAUGAGACAUCCUUUGUUCUGCAUCUCGUCUUUUCACUCUCAUUUCCUCUAAUCUUAGAGUUGUGGACUGCAAAAAAGUCUGUCGCACCACGAGCAUAUAUAGUUUGUUAGAACCUAGGAUUGCUAAUGUGACCUUUGGGACUUUUCAAACUCUUGAUUGCAGAAUUUUUUGUGGUUUCAAAAUUUAAACCAUCUUAAGAUAAAAUAUUAUAAUGGUUGGCUUUCUUUAAGCUUCCAAUCAAUUCCAUAUACUUUAUUUGCACAAACUAUUAAUACAAAAAGAAAAAUGUAACCGCAAUAGCCCUUAGGUGUUAAAAUCUGACAACCCUAAUGAUCAUUUUGACUUGUCAAAAUCCGUAAUACACCAUUCUCAAAGGAAAAUUCAGUUAAAAAUUUUCUAGAAAUAUUCAAUUAAAACUUUAACAUUUUCAUUUUAUUUGUAUAUGUAAUAGUAAAGUGAUGCUAAAUAAUUUCUUAGUACAACGCUUUGUUAAGCUGCACACAAGGAUAUUGUUCCCUAAAAACAACUUGAAUGAACAAAUAGAUACAAUGAUGUAAUUCACUCACCUGCAUAUUUCCAAUAAGAAAUGAAAAAAGCACUAGGCCAGAGAUGGAGAUGGAGAUGAAAACUGCAAAGCAAAUUUCCCAAACAA